Molecule: ribosomal RNA, 468 nt
Filed under: uncultured bacterium
Lineage: Bacteria
Description: partial 16S ribosomal RNA
Rfam family: Bacterial small subunit ribosomal RNA
Source: RNAcentral
GAUGAACGCUGGCGGCGUGCUUAACACAUGCAAGUCGAACGGAAAGGCCCAAGCUUGCUUGGGUACUCGAGUGGCGAACGGGUGAGUAACACGUGGGUGAUCUGCCCUGCACUUCGGGAUAAGCCUGGGAAACUGGGUCUAAUACCGGAUAGGACGAUGGUUUGCAUGCCAUUGUGUAAAGAGUUUUCGGUGUGGGGUGGGGUCGCGGCCUUUCAGCGUGUGUGUGGGGUGUUGGCGUACCACAGCGGCGUCGGGUGGCCGGCGUGUGAGGGUGUACGGCGACAUUGGGGCAGGGAGACGGCCCAGACUCCUACGGGGGGCGGCAGUGGGGAGUAUUGCGCAAUGGGGGCAAGACUGAUGCAGAGACGCCGCGUGGGGGAUGACGGCCUUCGGGUUGUGAACUCCGUUCGCUAGGGACGAAGCGUUUGUGUGACGGUACCUGGAGAAGAAGCACCGGCUAACUACGUG